Molecule: ribosomal RNA, 253 nt
Filed under: uncultured bacterium
Lineage: Bacteria
Description: partial 16S ribosomal RNA
Rfam family: Bacterial small subunit ribosomal RNA
Source: RNAcentral
UACGAGGGGUGCAAACGUUAUUCGGAAUUACUGGGUGUAAAGGGUACGUAGACGGCAUAUUAAGUCAGUUGUUAAAUUCCCCAGCUUAACUGGGGGUAGGCGAUUGAAACUGAUAAGCUAGAGGAUGAGAGAGAGAAGUGGAAUUCUCGGAGUAGCGGUAAAAUGCGUAGAUCUCGAGAGGAACACCGAUGGCGAAGGCAGCUUCGUGGCUCAUUUCUGACGUUGAGGUACGAAAGCGUGGGGAGCAAACAGG